AAACAAGCUAGGCCUGGGUAGAAUCCUUUCUCUGUCAUUGGCGCAGGACCUAGGGUGAAUACAUGUCUUUUCACAACUCCCCAGAAAAAGCACAGAACAAUUUUGUGUUUAUUCUUCAAACAUUUUAAGAGCUAUGUCCUUCUUCAGCGAAUAUUUUUUGCCAUUUCUUACCCUCACCCAUCUCAUUUCUUACCCACACCUAUCUCCCUCCCAUUUCCUUUGCAUGAACUGUGACUCUUCUCCAGGAAUGGGCAGCAAUUCUGAUGAACACGCAUGAAAUUAUAAAGGUAUGGGGACCUUUUCUGGAGAAGACUUCCCAUAAUGCAACUCAAGGAUAAAGAAGUCAUUGACAAGUCCUGGUCUACUGGAAAAUAACUUGGAUGUCUGUUUGAAACCAUUUUCACGAAUAGAGACACAUACAGAAGAGCCAACAAAGACGUUUUUAUGCAGUGCUUCCUGGGGCUUUUGUGCUAAUGACAAGGGUGGUUAUAAAAUGUUCUUCAAUUUCUACACAUCUUCUAAAAGGGUGUGGAAGCAAAAAGGUAUUUCUUCCACUUAAUGAAUAAGAUGAAAUCUUCAGAUUCACAAACUGACAUCUUAUGAAAACAAAUGAGCUACAGCUACACAUUCAAAUGUUAAUGGGAUCAAGAACAAGGACAGUCAACAGGAAUGUGCUCUUCCUAUUGUAGGGAAAAUUUACCCAGUAAAAUAACUGCAACAAUCUGAAAUUCCAUGCUAUUUAAUUAGUUCCCCAAAUGCUCAUGAGCAAGUACCUCCUCCUGAGAACAAUGAGUACCUCAAGGGGGUGAAUUGCUUGCUUCCCAAAAGGUUGUUAAUUGUCAAGAUUUACUGAAAAACCUUCACCUUGCUGUAUCCACUAUUCCUAAACUAUUAUAUUGGCUACAUUCCCCAGUCCCAACUAGACCUCAUUAUUGAAAUACCCACCAAAAAUCCAAGCUCCAAAAUUUUGUGAAUCUAUGACCUUCAUUUCCCCAACCCAAGAUAUUAUUAAGAUUCUUUCAGAAAGACACUCCAUUUUUUGUAAAAUUCAAUUUGUUUACUCAGUUUAUUUCAAUGGCCUUUGGAAGAAAGUGUGUAUCAAUAGAGAGAGGCCAUGAAAACCUCCUUUCUUCUAGGAUUUUGAUAAGUUUCCCCAUAUUGACCAGUUCAACGUGGCCUCCCAAAAAUUAUUCUGAUAUGUUAUAUUGUUGAUACUCUGUGAACAAUAAACUAUCCUCUGAUCCAAC
Cricetulus griseus (Chinese hamster) is the source of this 1247-nucleotide non-coding RNA. NCBI's taxonomy places the organism in Eukaryota, Metazoa, Chordata, Mammalia, Rodentia, Cricetidae. The record is from RefSeq and is a predicted model, not a curated record.